AGAAACAAUGGUUUGUAUUCUCUCCAUUUCUAGUUAUAUUAGGUUUUACAUUUGGAUCAAAGUGUAAAUUAAAAAAAAUUGUGGACUAUUCUUAAACUUACUCAACUUUCUUAAUCCAUAUUAAAGUAGUUGUCACCUACACUCAAUUAUUAUAACUUGAGCCACCUACACCUCAUUUUCAAACUCUUUUGUCACUUUUAACUAAAAAAUCCUAAUAAAUAGACCAGCACUUUGUGCCAUUACCGAAAAAAAUCACAAAAAUAAGCUAUGAAAUAUUUUUUCUUUUUAU
RNAcentral lists this long non-coding RNA (289 nucleotides) under Capsicum annuum. RNAcentral's name for it is "long non-coding RNA (CANN_LNC014574)". Lineage: Eukaryota; Viridiplantae; Streptophyta; Magnoliopsida; Solanales; Solanaceae. The record is from RNAcentral.